This 492-nucleotide ribosomal RNA is filed under the name uncultured bacterium. RNAcentral's name for it is "partial 16S ribosomal RNA". It matches the Rfam family "Bacterial small subunit ribosomal RNA", at positions 29 to 507 of the family's 1533-position model. The record is from RNAcentral.
AGUGAACGCUGGCGGUAGGCCUAACACAUGCAAGUCGAACGGCAGCACAGUAAGAGCUUGCUCUUACGGGUGGCGAGUGGCGGACGGGUGAGGAAUACAUCGGAAUCUACUUUUUCGUGGGGGAUAACGUAGGGAAACUUACGCUAAUACCGCAUACGACCUACGGGUGAAAGCAGGGGAUCUUCGGACCUUGCGCGAUUGAAUGAGCCGAUGUCGGAUUAGCUAGUUGGCGGGGUAAAGGCCCACCAAGGCGACGAUCCGUAGCUGGUCUGAGAGGAUGGUCGGCCACAUUGGAACUGAGACACGGUCCAGACUCCUACGGGAGGCAGCAGUGGGGAAUAUUGGACAAUGGGCGCAAGCCUGAUCCAGCCAUACCGCGUGGGUGAAGAAGGCCUUCGGGUUGUAAAGCCCUUUUGUUGGGAAAGAAAAGCAGCAGGUUAAUACCCCGCUGUUCUGACGGUACCCAAAGAAUAAGCACCGGCUAACUUCGUG